Molecule: ribosomal RNA, 1611 nt
Filed under: Salmonella enterica
Lineage: Bacteria; Pseudomonadati; Pseudomonadota; Gammaproteobacteria; Enterobacterales; Enterobacteriaceae
Also listed under: 1 other name
Description: partial 23S ribosomal RNA
Rfam family: Bacterial large subunit ribosomal RNA
Source: RNAcentral
GACACUAUGUGUUGUUGGGUAGGGGAGCGUUCUGUAAGCCUGUGAAGGUGUGUCGUGAGGCAUGCUGGAGGUAUCAGAAGUGCGAAUGCUGACAUAAGUAACGAUAAAGCGGGUGAAAAGCCCGCUCGCCGGAAGACCAAGGGUUCCUGUCCAACGUUAAUCGGGGCAGGGUGAGUCGACCCCUAAGGCGAGGCCGAAAGGCGUAGUCGAUGGGAAACGGGUUAAUAUUCCCGUACUUGGUGUUACUGCGAAGGGGGGACGGAGAAGGCUAUGUUGGCCGGGCGACGGUUGUCCCGGUUUAAGCGUGUAGGUGUGUGUUCCAGGUAAAUCCGGUUCACUUUAACACUGAGGCGUGACGACGAGGCACUACGGUGCUGAAGCAACAAAUGCCCUGCUUCCAGGAAAAGCCUCUAAGCAUCAGGUAACAUCAAAUCGUACCCCAAACCGACACAGGUGGUCAGGUAGAGAAUACCAAGGCGCUUGAGAGAACUCGGGUGAAGGAACUAGGCAAAAUGGUGCCGUAACUUCGGGAGAAGGCACGCUGACACGUAGGUGAAGUGAUUUACUCAUGGAGCUGAAGUCAGUCGAAGAUACCAGCUGGCUGCAACUGUUUAUUAAAAACACAGCACUGUGCAAACACGAAAGUGGACGUAUACGGUGUGACGCCUGCCCGGUGCCGGAAGGUUAAUUGAUGGGGUCAGCGCAAGCGAAGCUCCUGAUCGAAGCCCCGGUAAACGGCGGCCGUAACUAUAACGGUCCUAAGGUAGCGAAAUUCCUUGUCGGGUAAGUUCCGACCUGCACGAAUGGCGUAAUGAUGGCCAGGCUGUCUCCACCCGAGACUCAGUGAAAUUGAACUCGCUGUGAAGAUGCAGUGUACCCGCGGCAAGACGGAAAGACCCCGUGAACCUUUACUAUAGCUUGACACUGAACAUUGAGCCUUGAUGUGUAGGAUAGGUGGGAGGCUUUGAAGUGUGGACGCCAGUCUGCAUGGAGCCGACCUUGAAAUACCACCCUUUAAUGUUUGAUGUUCUAACGUGGACCCGUGAUCCGGGUUGCGGACAGUGUCUGGUGGGUAGUUUGACUGGGGCGGUCUCCUCCUAAAGAGUAACGGAGGAGCACGAAGGUUGGCUAAUCCUGGUCGGACAUCAGGAGGUUAGUGCAAUGGCAUAAGCCAGCUUGACUGCGAGCGUGACGGCGCGAGCAGGUGCGAAAGCAGGUCAUAGUGAUCCGGUGGUUCUGAAUGGAAGGGCCAUCGCUCAACGGAUAAAAGGUACUCCGGGGAUAACAGGCUGAUACCGCCCAAGAGUUCAUAUCGACGGCGGUGUUUGGCACCUCGAUGUCGGCUCAUCACAUCCUGGGGCUGAAGUAGGUCCCAAGGGUAUGGCUGUUCGCCAUUUAAAGUGGUACGCGAGCUGGGUUUAGAACGUCGUGAGACAGUUCGGUCCCUAUCUGCCGUGGGCGCUGGAGAACUGAGGGGGGCUGCUCCUAGUACGAGAGGACCGGAGUGGACGCAUCACUGGUGUUCGGGUUGUCAUGCCAAUGGCACUGCCCGGUAGCUAAAUGCGGAAGAGAUAAGUGCUGAAAGCAUCUAAGCACGAAACUUGCCCCGAG